GGUCUCGUAGUUCAACGGAUAGAAUAGAAGUUUCCUAAACUUUUGAUCCCAGUUCGAUUCUGGGCGAGACUA
This 72-nucleotide transfer RNA is filed under the name Flammeovirgaceae bacterium. RNAcentral's name for it is "tRNA-Arg". It matches the Rfam family "tRNA". From Rfam's summary of the family: Transfer RNA (tRNA) molecules are approximately 80 nucleotides in length. Their secondary structure includes four short double-helical elements and three loops (D, anti-codon, and T loops). RNAcentral also lists the same sequence under 3 other names. The record is from RNAcentral. Lineage: Bacteria; Pseudomonadati; Bacteroidota; Cytophagia; Cytophagales; Flammeovirgaceae.